Molecule: long non-coding RNA, 242 nt
Filed under: Ananas comosus (pineapple)
Lineage: Eukaryota; Viridiplantae; Streptophyta; Magnoliopsida; Poales; Bromeliaceae
Description: long non-coding RNA (ACOM_LNC016446)
Source: RNAcentral
UUUUACAAAAUUGGGCCGUCUUUUUCAAUUUUGCAGAUUCGGUUCGAAUUUUCAGCAAAUUGACCAAAAUACUCUUAUUUCGUUUUCCCUCAUUCUGUUUUUUUCCCAGUCCGAAGAAGGCAGCGGAGGAAGAGGCGGAAACUGCCCACCUGGCCUCUGCUCUUACUCCCUCGCCGUCGCCCUCGGUCGCGUACCCCCCACCCUCCUCACCUCCGACCUCGCUAAGGCCACACCGCGAUCGU